AGAGUUUGAUCCUGGCUCAGGACGAACGCUGGCGGCGCGCCUAACACAUGCAAGUCGAACGAGCGAGAGAGAGCUUGCUUUCUCGAGCGAGUGGCGAACGGGUGAGUAACGCGUGAGGAACCUGCCUCAAAAGGGGGACAACAGUUGGAAACGACUGCUAAUACCGCAUAAGCCCACGGCUCGGCANCGUUUUUAGCAGAGGGAAAAGGAGCAAUCCGCUUUGAGAUGGCCUCGCGUCCGAUUAGCUGGUUGGUGAGGUAACGGCCCACCAAGGCGACGAUCGGUAGCCGGACUGAGAGGUUGAACGGCCACCAUUGGGACUGAGACACGGCCCAGACUCCUACGGGAGGCAGCA
This 355-nucleotide ribosomal RNA is filed under the name uncultured bacterium. RNAcentral's name for it is "bacterial SSU rRNA". It matches the Rfam family "Bacterial small subunit ribosomal RNA", at positions 8 to 353 of the family's 1533-position model. The record is from RNAcentral.